This 798-nucleotide ribosomal RNA is filed under the name Seifertia azaleae. RNAcentral describes it as "partial large subunit ribosomal RNA". It matches the Rfam family "Eukaryotic large subunit ribosomal RNA", at positions 89 to 906 of the family's 3401-position model. The record is from RNAcentral. Lineage: Eukaryota; Fungi; Ascomycota; Dothideomycetes; Pleosporales; Melanommataceae.
GCGAGUGAAGCGGUAAUAGCUCAAAUUUGAAAUCUGGCCCUUUCAGGGUCCGAGUUGUAAUUUGCAGAGGGCGCUUUGGAGUCGGCAGCAGCCUAAGUUCCUUGGAACAGGUCAUCAUAGAGGGUGAGAAUCCCGUAUGUGGCUGCUUGCCUUCGCCGUGUAAAGCCCCUUCGAUGAGUCGAGUUGUUUGGGAAUGCAGCUCUAAAUGGGAGGUAAAUUUCUUCUAAAGCUAAAUAUUGGCCAGAGACCGAUAGCGCACAAGUAGAGUGAUCGAAAGAUGAAAAGCACUUUGGAAAGAGAGUCAAAAAGCACGUGAAAUUGUUGAAAGGGAAGCGCUUGCAGCCAGACGUGCCCGCAGUUGCUCAUCUGGGGUUCUCCCCAGUGCACUCUUCUGUGGGCAGGCCAGCAUCAGUUCGGGCGGUUGGAGAAAGACCUGUGUCACGUAGCUCUCUUCGGGGAGUGUUAUAGGGCAGGUGGAAUGCAACCAGCCUGAACUGAGGUCCGCGCAUCUGCUAGGAUGCUGGCGUAAUGGCUGUAAGCGGCCCGUCUUGAAACACGGACCAAGGAGUCUAACAUCUAUGCGAGUGUUUGGGUGUCAAGCCCGAACGCGUAAUGAAAGUGAACGGAGGUGGGAACCCCUCGGGGUGCACCAUCGACCGAUCCUGAUGUCUUCGGAUGGAUUUGAGUAAGAGCAUAGCUGUUGGGACCCGAAAGAUGGUGAACUAUGCCUGAAUAGGGUGAAGCCAGAGGAAACUCUGGUGGAGGCUCGCAGCGGUUCUGACGUGCAAAUCGAUCGUC